RNAcentral lists this transfer RNA (72 nucleotides) under Candidatus Terrybacteria bacterium RIFCSPHIGHO2_01_FULL_58_15. RNAcentral's name for it is "tRNA-Pro". It matches the Rfam family "tRNA". From Rfam's summary of the family: Transfer RNA (tRNA) molecules are approximately 80 nucleotides in length. Their secondary structure includes four short double-helical elements and three loops (D, anti-codon, and T loops). The record is from RNAcentral. Lineage: Bacteria; Candidatus Terryibacteriota. RNAcentral also lists the same sequence under 1 other name.
CGGGGUGUCGUAUAACGGUUAUUAUGCCAGGCUGGGGGUCUGGCGAUCGGGGUUCGACUCCCCGCACCCCGA